RNAcentral lists this ribosomal RNA (497 nucleotides) under uncultured bacterium. RNAcentral's name for it is "partial 16S ribosomal RNA". It matches the Rfam family "Bacterial small subunit ribosomal RNA", at positions 28 to 507 of the family's 1533-position model. The record is from RNAcentral.
GAUGAACGCUGGCGGCGUGCCUAAUACAUGCAAGUCGAGCGAACGGACGAGAAGCUUGCUUCUCUGAUGUUAGCGGCGGACGGGUGAGUAACACGUGGAUAACCUACCUAUAAGACUGGGAUAACUUCGGGAAACCGUAGCUAAUACCGGAUAAUAUUUUGAACCGCAUGGUUCAAAAGUGAAAGACGGUCUUGCUGUCACUUAUAGAUGGAUCCGCGCUGCAUUAGCUAGUUGGUAAGGUAACGGCUUACCAAGGCAACGAUGCAUAGCCGACCUGAGAGGGUGAUCGGCCACACUGGAACUGAGACACGGUCCAGACUCCGACGGGAGGCAGCAGUAGGGAAUCUGCCGCAAUGGGCGAAAGCCUGACGGAGCAACGCCGCGUGAGUGAUGAAGGUCUUCGGAUCGUAAAACUCUGUUAUUAGGGAAGAACAUAUGUGUAAGUAACUGUGCACAUCUUGACGGUACCUAAUCAGAAAGCCACGGCUAACUACGUG